CACUGCCCUAUGUUCUGUUCACAUUGUGCACUUAGUUAAGCAUACUGUGGCGCACAAUGUGAACAGAACAUGGGGCAGCAG
This is a microRNA precursor of Scleropages formosus (Asian bonytongue), 81 nucleotides long. It matches the Rfam family "mir-130 microRNA precursor family". Rfam says of the family: The hairpin precursors (represented here) are predicted based on base pairing and cross-species conservation -- their extents are not known. In this case the mature sequence is excised from the 3' arm of the hairpin. The record is from Rfam. NCBI's taxonomy places the organism in Eukaryota, Metazoa, Chordata, Actinopteri, Osteoglossiformes, Osteoglossidae.